AACCAAAGUGGAAAUUCAGGUUCUGAACUUGUGUGAGGCCCUUGAGGUGCAGCCCCAGGGAAAGAGGGGCUGGGUUUCCAGCUGCGCUACUCUUGCCCUGCAGACAUAGAUGAGUGCAGCCAGGACCCGGGCCUGUGCCUUCCCCAUGGGGCCUGCAAGAACCUUCAGGGCUCCUAUGUGUGUGUCUGCGAUGAGGGCUUCACUCCCACCCAGGACCAGCACGGUUGUGAGGAGGUGGAGCAGCCCCACCACAAGAAGGAAUGCUACCUGAACUUCGAUGACACAGUGUUCUGCGACAGCGUAUUGGCCACCAACGUGACCCAGCAGGAGUGCUGCUGCUCUCUGGGGGCCGGCUGGGGCGACCACUGCGAAAUCUACCCCUGCCCAGUCUACAGCUCAGGUCAGGAGCCGGGCAGGCCCCUUCCCAGGUCUUCAGUUUCUUCAUCUGGAAGCCAAAUGUGGGAAAUGGCGCCCCCUGGCGGUUGGGAAAUAGGCGGCGGGCUGCAGCCCUAAGCCCACGCGCGCGCUCAG
This 531-nucleotide small RNA is filed under the name Pongo abelii (Sumatran orangutan). RNAcentral's name for it is "retained intron". Lineage: Eukaryota; Metazoa; Chordata; Mammalia; Primates; Hominidae. The record is from RNAcentral.